CACCUCUAGCAUAACUAGUAUUAGAGGCACUGCCUGCCCAGUGACAAAUCGUUAAACGGCCGCGGUAUCUUGACCGUGCAAAGGUAGCAUAAUCACUUGUUCUCUAAAUAAGGACUUGUAUGAAUGGCCACACGAGGGUUUUACUGUCUCUUACUCCUAAUCAGUGAAAUUGACCUCCCCGUGAAGAGGCGGGGAUAACACAAUAAGACGAGAAGACCCUAUGGAGCUUUAAUUAAUCAACUCAAAAAGCACAAAAUAAUACCACCAAGGGAUAACAAAGCUUUAUAUGAGCUGACAAUUUCGGUUGGGGUGACCUCGGAGUAUAAAAAACCCUCCGAGUGAUUAAAACUUAGGCCUACUAGCCAAAGUAUAGUAUCACAUAUUGAUCCAAAAUUUUGAUCAACGGAACAAGUUACCCUAGGGAUAACAGCGCAAUCCUAUUCUAGAGUCCAUAUCGACAAUAGGGUUUACGACCUCGAUGUUGGAUCAGGACAUCCUAAUGGUGCAGCAGCUAUUAAGGGUUCGUUUGUUCAACGAUUAAAGUCCU
RNAcentral lists this ribosomal RNA (547 nucleotides) under Peponocephala electra (melon-headed whale). RNAcentral's name for it is "partial 16S ribosomal RNA". It matches the Rfam family "Bacterial large subunit ribosomal RNA", at positions 1816 to 2597 of the family's 2925-position model. Lineage: Eukaryota; Metazoa; Chordata; Mammalia; Artiodactyla; Delphinidae. The record is from RNAcentral.